CCAGACUCCUACGGGAGGCAGCAGUGGGGAAUAUUGCACAAUGGGGGAAACCCUGAUGCAGCGACGCCGCGUGAAGGACGAAGUAUUUCGGUACGUAAACUUCUAUCAGCAGGGAAGAAAAUGACGGUACCUGACCAAGAAGCCCCGGCUGACUACGUGCCAGCAGCCGCGGUAAUACGUAGGGAGCGAGCGUUAUCCGGAAUUAUUGGGUGUAAAGGGUGCGUAGACGGGAAAGCAAGUUAGUUGUGAAAUCCCUCGGCUUAACUGAGGAACUGCAACUAAAACUACUUUUCUUGAGUGCAGGAGAGGUAAGUGGAAUUCCUAGGGUAGCGGUGAAAUGCGUAGAUAUUAGGAGGAACACCAGUGGCGAAGGCGACUUACUGGACUGUAACUGACGUUGAGGCACGAAAGUGUGGGGAGCAAACAGGAUUAGAUACCCCGGUAG
This 445-nucleotide ribosomal RNA is filed under the name uncultured bacterium. Its description in RNAcentral is "bacterial SSU rRNA". It matches the Rfam family "Bacterial small subunit ribosomal RNA", at positions 331 to 793 of the family's 1533-position model. The record is from RNAcentral.